GGAGAAUCGCUUGAACCUGGGAGGUGGAGGUUGCAGUGAGCUGAGAUCACGCCACUGCACUCCAGCCUGGGCGACAGAGUGAGACUCUGUCUC
Molecule: microRNA precursor, 93 nt
Filed under: Aotus nancymaae (Ma's night monkey)
Lineage: Eukaryota; Metazoa; Chordata; Mammalia; Primates; Aotidae
Description: miRNA (ENSANAG00000009149.1)
Source: RNAcentral